AUGUGAUGCAUGCUCACGUGUCUCCGCAGCCGGCUCGGGAAAGAAUCCCCCAAGCUCCAUUUGAGUAAGCGUGAGAGCCGCUCAGUUUCCUCCAGCUCUGGUUUUGAUCAGUGUUCUGCUCUCUGCUUGCUUAGGGCUGGAGAGUCUCAGGCAUGGUGGUGGUGGGCAACAUGGGAAGGGGCACCUGCAGAAAUAACAGCAGCAGUGACCAUUUAUUGAGUCUUAAACCCUUACUGAUAUUAACACACGACCCACAGGAACAUAUGAUGUAAAGGCCUAAAGGGGCGAAGUGACUUGCCCAGGGUCACACAGAUAGGCAGCAGAGGAGUCAGCAUUCUGACGGCAGAACCUACUCGGAGACCCAGAUCACAGCCCUACCCAGGGCUGCUCUUGAUCUGGGGGUGGACUUGAUGCUUUAGGACCAUCAUUUCUCUGCGGGUCUCAGGCUAUGAGCUGAACCUUGAGAACACUGAAGGUCUUUUUUCAGGGCUGGGCUCCUCAGAGCCUCUCGAGAUUCUUGGAAGAAAAAAAACUGCAUCUCAAUUGUGUUUAUCCAGAGAGCAAAGAGAAUCAGUCAG
Molecule: small RNA, 578 nt
Filed under: Pan troglodytes (chimpanzee)
Lineage: Eukaryota; Metazoa; Chordata; Mammalia; Primates; Hominidae
Description: retained intron
Source: RNAcentral